UCACGACCCGUGCUGACGACUGGAUGCAA
RNAcentral lists this non-coding RNA (29 nucleotides) under Homo sapiens (human). The record is from RNAcentral. Lineage: Eukaryota; Metazoa; Chordata; Mammalia; Primates; Hominidae.